GCGGAUGUGGCGGAACUGGUAGACGCCCUGGAUUUAGGUUCCAGUGCCGAAAGGCGUGGAGGUUCGAGUCCUCUCAUCCGCA
RNAcentral lists this transfer RNA (82 nucleotides) under Mesorhizobium sp. Root554. It matches the Rfam family "tRNA". Rfam says of the family: Transfer RNA (tRNA) molecules are approximately 80 nucleotides in length. RNAcentral also lists the same sequence under 1 other name. The record is from Rfam by way of RNAcentral. Lineage: Bacteria; Pseudomonadati; Pseudomonadota; Alphaproteobacteria; Hyphomicrobiales; Phyllobacteriaceae.